UUGCAUACAUGAACAGCACAUAUACUAAAAUUGGAACGAUACAGAGAAGAUUAGCAUGUCCCCAGUACUGACUCUCUGUCCUGUGCCGCCACUGGGUUGUGU
Molecule: small nuclear RNA, 102 nt
Organism: Podarcis raffonei (Aeolian wall lizard)
Lineage: Eukaryota; Metazoa; Chordata; Lepidosauria; Squamata; Lacertidae
Source: RefSeq, a predicted model, not a curated record